Molecule: long non-coding RNA, 3574 nt
Filed under: Macaca mulatta (Rhesus monkey)
Lineage: Eukaryota; Metazoa; Chordata; Mammalia; Primates; Cercopithecidae
Description: lncRNA (ENSMMUG00000052049.1)
Source: RNAcentral
GGGAGCUGUCAGCCUCCCUCUGUUCUUCGGGCUUGGCGUACUCCUUUCAUAAUGGACAGACACCAGUGGCCUUCAAAAGGUCGGGGGUAGGGGAACGGAGGAAGUGGCCUUGGGUGCAGAGGAAGAGCAGAGCUCCUGCCAACGCUGAACGCAGUUAGCCCUGCGCAAGUGCGCGCUAGCUCAGCAUAUGCGCUCCAGAGCCGGCAGGACCGCCCGACCCUGCUCACCCCGAGGAGAAAUCCAAGAGCGCAGCCACCUGCACCUCCAUGCCCCAAAGACCGUCCAAGCUGGAGCAACCAGCCCUCCAUUCCUCUUCGAUUCUUCAACCCCAAGGUAAGAAUUCUCAAUGAACCUGAUUUCCAAAGGUAUAACAUUUUGAAGUCAUUUCUCUUAUUUACAUAUGCUCUAGAAAAUUCAGAAGUUCCACACUUCUAAAUAUAUCUGGAAAUAUUGCUAAUUUGAAAUCGACAUAUUACAUGGAAUUAUUUCCACUUCAUAGUUCUAGAAACAAACAAAAAAAUGUACAAAAUAAGGCCAGGCGCGGUGGCUCAUGCCUGUAAUCCCAGCACUUUGGGAGGCCGAGGUGAGUGGAUCACAAGGUCAGGAGUUCGAGACCAGCCUGGCCAAUAUGGUGAAACUCUGAAACCCUGUCUCUACUAAAAGUACAAAAAUUAGCCAGGCCUAGUGGCAGGUGCCUGUAGUCCCAGCUACUUGGGAGGCUGGGCAGGAGAAUCACUUGAACCUGGGAGGCAGAGGUAGCAGUGAGCCAAGAUCGUGCCACUGCACUCUAGCCUGGGCGACAGAUUGAGACUGUGUCUCAAAAAAAAAAAAGGUACAAAAUAGAGUUGGGCAAGGUGGCUAAUGCCUGUAAUCCUAGCACUCUGAAAGGCUGAGGAAAGAGGAUUGCUUGAGCCUAGGAGUUUAGGACUAUGAUUGCAGUGACCUAUGAUUGUGCCACUGCACUCCAGCUUGGGUGACAGAGCAAUACCUUGUCUCCAAAUAAAGCAUUUUUAAAUGUUCAAAACAAUCUCUAAGAAAUAAAAAAUUGGCCGGCACGGUGGCUAAUGCCUGUAAUCCUGGCACUCUGGGAGGCUGAGGUGGGCAGAUCACUUGAGGGCAGGAGUUUGGGACCAGCCUGAGCAACAUGGUGAAACCCUGUCUCUACUAAAAAUACAAAAAUUAGUCAGGCAUGGUGGCGAGCACCUGUAGUCCCUGCUAGUAGGGAGGCUGAGGCAGGAGAGUCGCUUGAACCCAGAGUGGUUGCAGUGAGCCGAGAUCGUACCACUGCACUCCAGCCUGGGCAACAAGAGCAGCACUCCAUCUCAAAAAAUAAUAAAUAAAUAAAUAAAUAAAUAAAUAAAUAGAAAAUAUUAUAUAACUGAAUUUAUUGCAAUCAAUGAAUGCGUGGUUUAUUUUUAUUUAAUAUUAAAAGACUAUGUUUCUAGGCCCUAAGGACAGGAGAGUGGAUAAUUUCUCCUGUGGAUGAUUGGACCUUUCCACAGAAACACAAACAGAUUGUAUAAAGCACAAGCCAUUGUUCAUGCUACCCUUUGUACUCCAGUCCAGUGGAGGAAACAAGGAACAAUCCCUGGCCAAAUGCACAAAUUGAAAGUGCUGUUUCUCACUACCUUGGGCAGGCUUUAGCUUCCGGUUUUGUGUUCCCUAUUUACUGCCCUUCUGAACUAGGGCAAAUAACUUGAUCCAUUUGAGCUUGUCUACUCCCCUGUGAAUUAGGGAUAAUCCCAUCUCAUGUGACUACUGUGAGAGUUAAGUAAGAUAAGGUAUGUGAAGAGCACAUACUUGGGUGUGUGGAAAGCUUUAUUUUUAUUUAUUAGGUACAAGGUCUUACUCUGUUGCCCAGGCUUGAGUGCAGUGGUGUGGUCCUACGAUCUUAUGGUAGCCUCAAACUCCUGGGCUCAAAGCAAUCUUCUCACCUCAGCCCCACAUGUAACUGAGACCACAGGCACAUGCCACCAAGCCCAGCUAAUUAAAAAAAAAUUUUUUUUUUGGACAUGGGCAUCUUGCUAAGUUACCCAGGCUAGUCUCAAACUCCUGGGCUUGAGCAAUUCCCUUGCCUUGGCCUCCUGUGGCUGGGAUUGCAGGUGAGAGCCACGUCACCUGGCUGUGUGCCACCUCACCUGGCUGAGUGGAGCCCUUUAGAAGGAUGUGGUUUUUCCAGAAGCUGAGGCCUUUCUUGCCCUACUAAAUCACAGACAGCUCUUUGCUCAGUGGACCUCAGGGGAGGCAACAACUGCCACACCAAUUAGAUGUAUGCCCUUUUCCCUGGAGCCCUGGAGUCCUCCCUCAGAUGGGGACAACUAGGUCUUGUCCUGGCUCUUCACAAGAGAAUGUCUGGACUGCAAAGUAACAUUGAAGCUGACCAGGCAUAAGCAAAAAUAAACCACCACCUGUAUAAAACACAGAGGCAAAAGCCGGCUGCACUGACUGAAGUUACACGUCAAACAGCAUUGAUACCCACAUGCAAUUAGCUUUACUUGUAAGGCACAAGCAUUUCAGCCAAUUUAAGGAUAGUCUGAUGACCAAAGAUAGAAAGCCUCUUGACAAAGUAGAAUAUUUUAGGGAUCUCUAGCCCCCGGCCCCAAAGAAUAGGAGAUUGUUCCAAGACCUUCUUAAUAAAUCAUCUCCUUAGAUGUUACUAUAUUGAUGAGUGUUAACAUAUAUAUAUAUAUAAUAUAUAUUUUAUAUAUUUUAUAUAAUAUGUUGUAUAUUUUCAAACAGUAGGUUGCAACUGAUUAGUCAAUAAAGUCAGUUUAGCCAAGCGCAGUGGUUCACGCCUAUCAUCCCAGCACGUUGGGAGGCCGAGGCACUUAAGGUCAGGAGUUCGAGACCAGCCAGGCCAACAUGGUGAAACCCCGGCUCUACAAAAAAUACAAAAAAAAAUUACCUGGGCAUAGUGGCACAUACCUGUAAUCCCAGACACUCGGGAGGCUGAGACAGGAGUUUUGCUUGAAACCAGAAAGUGAAGGUUGCAGUGAGCUGAGAUCACUCCAGCCUGGGCAACACAGGGAGACCCCAUCUCACAAAAAAAAAAAAAAAAAAAAAAGUCAAUUUAGUGGGUUGUUACCAGAUUUUUAUUUUUAUAUAUAUAAUGUAUAUAUGGAAUCCAAGCUGCUUUGACUUUCUAUUCUGCCAUCCCUAAGUGUUGUGGACCUCCCUAGUCCCUUAGAGCACUCCAGCCAAUACACUUACUUUCUCAGCUGCAGAGGAGAAGAGACAAAUCAGAAGGAUAUGCAUCUAUGGUAGACAGAAUAAUGGCCCCUGAAAAAUUGAAAGGUGUCCACAUUGCAAUUCCUGAAACCUGUGUCUGUGUUCCCUUACAGGGCAAAAGGGAUUUUUGCAGAUGUAAUUAGAUUAGAUACUUAAAAUAAAGAGCUUAUUCUAGAUUAUCCUUGUAGGCCCUUCCUCUAAGUCAGUGUUUUUCAAACAGUAGGUUGCAACUAGAUUAGUCAAUGAAGUCAACUUAGCGGGUUAUUACCAGAUUUUUUUAAAUUAGAUAAAACAUAGUAGAGAAUAUCAGAGUGCAUUAUACAUAGUGAGGAUAAACAUUGCUUCA